CCACAAUGAUGCUCCAUUCUGUCAUUCUAAUUUCUGCCUUUGCAUAUACAAUGCAUGGAAAUGAAAUCAAACCAACCAAAACACUGGAGUUUGCUGAUGAGGGUUUAAGUGUUAAAUUAUCCUGCAGUUAUUCAUCUGCAUAUCGUCUUCUCUGGUACCGUCAGUAUCCCGGAUCAGCUCCUCAGUUUAUUGUGUUCAUCUCAGAUGGAUCAAAACAAGCUCAGGAGUCUAAUGUAGAUUCCAGAUUCAUUGCCAAAGUCACCAAAGACAAAGAAAGCCAUGUGGAUCUGAAGAUCUCCUCUGCUGCUGUAUCAGACUCUGCUCUGUACUACUGCGCUCUGGAGCCCACAGUGACAGGAAACACAAGAACACUGUACAAAAACCUGAUUCACAGUAUUGCAUCUACAUAUCCAACCUCCAUAUCUAGUAUACUGCAGGUGACACCCCUCUGUUCACUAAAAACAGCAUAA
Non-coding RNA from Cyprinus carpio (common carp), 470 nucleotides. The record is from the annotation of a RefSeq genome assembly. NCBI's taxonomy places the organism in Eukaryota, Metazoa, Chordata, Actinopteri, Cypriniformes, Cyprinidae.